This 616-nucleotide ribosomal RNA is filed under the name Salmonella enterica subsp. enterica serovar Minnesota. RNAcentral describes it as "partial 23S ribosomal RNA". It matches the Rfam family "Bacterial large subunit ribosomal RNA", at positions 1 to 647 of the family's 2925-position model. Lineage: Bacteria; Pseudomonadati; Pseudomonadota; Gammaproteobacteria; Enterobacterales; Enterobacteriaceae. The record is from RNAcentral.
GGGUUGUGAGGUUAAGCGACUAAGCGUACACGGUGGAUGCCCUGGCAGUCAGAGGCGAUGAAGGGCGUGCUAAUCUGCGAUAAGCGCCGGUAAGGUGAUAUGAACCGUUAUAACCGGCGAUACCCGAAUGGGGAAACCCAGUGUGACUCGUCACACUAUCAUUAACUGAAUCCAUAGGUUAAUGAGGCGAACCGGGGGAACUGAAACAUCUAAGUACCCCGAGGAAAAGAAAUCAACCGAGAUUCCCCCAGUAGCGGCGAGCGAACGGGGAGGAGCCCAGAGCCUGAAUCAGCAUGUGUGUUAGUGGAAGCGUCUGGAAAGGCGCGCGAUACAGGGUGACAGCCCCGUACACAAAAGCGCACAUGCUGUGAGCUCGAUGAGUAGGGCGGGACACGUGGUAUCCUGUCUGAAUAUGGGGGGACCAUCCUCCAAGGCUAAAUACUCCUGACUGACCGAUAGUGAACCAGUACCGUGAGGGAAAGGCGAAAAGAACCCCGGCGAGGGGAGUGAAAAAGAACCUGAAACCGUGUACGUACAAGCAGUGGGAGCACCCUUUGGGGUGUGACUGCGUACCUUUUGUAUAAUGGGUCAGCGACUUAUAUUCUGUAGCAAGGUU